CCUCUCGUAACGUAGGGGUAACGCGCUCUAUCUAGGGAACAGGGAGUCGUGAGUUCGACUCUCACCAAGAAGA
This is a non-coding RNA of Aedes aegypti (yellow fever mosquito), 73 nucleotides long. NCBI's taxonomy places the organism in Eukaryota, Metazoa, Arthropoda, Insecta, Diptera, Culicidae. The record is from Rfam.